GGUUUAACUGUCAACCCUAGAUUAGUCAUCCACAUUGUAUUUCAAUCUUUUUCAAAUCCUGUGAUCUAUCACAUAGAUUGUCCUAAUCGAAGUCUUACUCAAUUAAAAUAUAGUGAUACAUCAACUCCUAAAAUAUAAAGAGAUCAAUCCUAUCUUGAUCCACACACUGACUACCACAAGUACUUAACUAUGCCCAGAAAUCUUCCAUCACUGAAUUAGAAAUUCAGAUAGUCCAGCAUCAAAGUACAGUGAGUUGCUUGCAAGUCACAGUGAGUAGUUCUUGAUAGCAGAGUGCUCCAUAGGUGAGUCACUUAUUCAGUGAUGAUGUACUCCUACAUGUCACCUAUAUGCCACACCAGUAUCUUCACACUCCUU
Molecule: long non-coding RNA, 375 nt
Filed under: Elaeis guineensis (African oil palm)
Lineage: Eukaryota; Viridiplantae; Streptophyta; Magnoliopsida; Arecales; Arecaceae
Description: long non-coding RNA (EGUI_LNC051508)
Source: RNAcentral